UCCUGGCCUGAUCGCCCCUAACUGCCUCUGCCUCAGCCCUGCCACCAUGGCUUUGUCUAGACUAGAAGGAUGUCCAAAAGGAGACUCUCCUGGAAGGUCUCCCGGUCUAAUUAGCGUAUUACCCUUUUAUUAGUAUAGAUUGCACAUAAGUUCCAUUGAAAUAGGUAGUAUUUCUAAUGCCAUUCAUAAUAGACUUUUGGUACUUACUAAUUGAUUGCUAUGACAAAAUUACUCUUACUAAGUUACCAUUUUACAAAUGUUCCACAGGAUGAGAAAAGCAUUACAUAUGUUAAAAUAUCCUCAAAAUUAUUUGGACUAAAGGAAGAUGUAUCUGUGAUGAAGUGGUUGAAGUUCUCACACUACAAUUUAUUACAUUAUAUUUAUACAUAAAUAUAUUCAUAAAUUAAAGAAUAAUUUAAGAAUUCUCUCAGAUUAAAAUUGAUUGAAUUAAUCUUGGAUGGAUGUGUUUUAUAUGUAAUUAAACAGGUUUAUUAUAACCAGAUUUUUGAAAGUGAAUCUAUAUAGGGCCAUAGAAAAACUAUAACAUUUAUGGAACAAUGCAUAGCACAUACAAAAAUACAUGUGUGAAUGUAUAGUAUAUAGAAGCUCAGUAUAGUAUAAGGUAAAUACAUAUUUCUGAAAAAUAUUUCCAGUGUUUUAACAUGAACUCACUUGUACUGCUCAAGCUCACAGUUUUAGAGAUUGUGUCUUUUAAAUAUGCUUUGUAUUUAAUGAGCUGUAGGAGAGAUCAUCUCUAAGAGCUUUCCUACAGUAUCACCAAGAAAGAAUAUAUGCUGUCAAGUUAACAUUUUGAUGGUUGGUAAUGAGAGAGGUGUGGAGAAUAAGCUUUCUGGUCCCACAGGGAGAAGAUCACCAAACAAAAUGAAUUUGUCCACUCACUUAUUCAACAAAGAGAGAUUGAGUUGGUUUUGCAGUAAUCUCACCUAUUUUUCUCUCAGAACUCAGGAAUGUAAUUCAUUCAGAACUGGAAAGAAUCUCUUUUGAAACAGUGAGUUCAUUCAGCAAAUAUUUAUUGAGUACCCACAAUGUGCUAGAAUUCACAGAACAUUCUUCUGGAUGAAAGUCAUGGAAGCAGAACCAAAGUGGAAUGAUUUCAUUUCUGUAUCGCAUCUGUUGACAUUAUACUGUCAGCCCCAAACAACCUUGGUCUAAUAUACUAUCAAGCAGCUUUGAAGAACAGGAGGAACAUGGGCUUUUAAGUCAGAUUUAGGGAUGGGAGGGGUGGUAGACAGAAUGGCCCCUAGGAUUUCCCGCCCAGCUGGUAUGCCUGAUAUGCACAUUCCCUGGGACUACACCAUAUAAUGGAUUUUACUCCUGUCACUAGGCUAUGUUUCAGUUGACCUUAAGAUAAUAAAAUUACCCAGGUGAGCUUUACCUAAUCCUAUCUAUACUUUUAAAGCAAAGAGUUCUCUGUAGCUGGUUUUAGGGGAAGAAGUUAAAGAUUUGGAGCUCAAGAGGAUUUGAUUCACCAUAUUGGUAUGAAGAUAGAGAGGAGUCAUGGCAAAGGAUGUGGGCAGCCUAUAGGAGCUGAAGGAAGCCCCAGGCAACAGCCAAGAAGGAAACCGGACCUCCUUUUUAAAACCACAGGAACAGAAUUCUGCUGACAAGAAUAAGCUUGAAAAGUGGAGCCUUCCCCAGAGCAUCCAGAACACUCAGCUGGGGCAAUACCUUGAUUUCGGCCUCACCAUACCCCCAGCUGAGGCCCCAGCCAUGCCACACUCUGAAUCACAAACCUGUGAGCUAAUAAAUGGAUAUUUUCAUGGUA
This is a long non-coding RNA of Myotis daubentonii (Daubenton's bat), 1786 nucleotides long. RefSeq lists it as uncharacterized. NCBI's taxonomy places the organism in Eukaryota, Metazoa, Chordata, Mammalia, Chiroptera, Vespertilionidae. The record is from RefSeq and is a predicted model, not a curated record.